This 253-nucleotide ribosomal RNA is filed under the name uncultured bacterium. RNAcentral describes it as "partial 16S ribosomal RNA". It matches the Rfam family "Bacterial small subunit ribosomal RNA", at positions 524 to 776 of the family's 1533-position model. The record is from RNAcentral.
UACGUAGGGAGCAAGCGUUGUCCGGAAUCAUUGGGCGUAAAGCGCGCGUAGGCGGCCCUGUAAGUCCGUUGUGAAAGUCAAAGGCUCAACCUUUGAAAGCCGAUGGAUACUGCAGGGCUAGAGUCCGGAAGAGGCGAGUGGAAUUCCUGGUGUAGCGGUGGAAUGCGCAGAUAUCAGGAGGAACACCAAUGGCGAAGGCAGCUCGCUGGGACGGUACUGACGCUGAGACGCGAAAGCGUGGGGAGCAAACAGG